UGCACCGGUAGCUCAACGGCAGAGCAGUUGACUCUUAAUCAAUUGGUUGAAGGUUCAAGUCCUUCUCGGUGCAG
Molecule: transfer RNA, 74 nt
Filed under: Candidatus Xiphinematobacter sp. Idaho Grape
Lineage: Bacteria; Pseudomonadati; Verrucomicrobiota; Spartobacteria
Description: tRNA-Lys
Rfam family: tRNA
About the family: Transfer RNA (tRNA) molecules are approximately 80 nucleotides in length. Their secondary structure includes four short double-helical elements and three loops (D, anti-codon, and T loops).
Source: RNAcentral